GGCUCUGUCCUCCUGGACAUGCCGAUGACACACGCCGGGGACCUUCUCUCGAAGGCGGCCACCUCGCCUGGUCCCCGAGUGUC
This 83-nucleotide small RNA is filed under the name Neogale vison (American mink). RNAcentral's name for it is "Neovison vison (American mink) sRNA (ENSNVIG00000009404.1)". Lineage: Eukaryota; Metazoa; Chordata; Mammalia; Carnivora; Mustelidae. The record is from RNAcentral.